RNAcentral lists this ribosomal RNA (465 nucleotides) under uncultured bacterium. RNAcentral's name for it is "bacterial SSU rRNA". It matches the Rfam family "Bacterial small subunit ribosomal RNA", at positions 338 to 795 of the family's 1533-position model. The record is from RNAcentral.
CCUACGGGACGCAGCAGCGGGGAAUAUUGCACAAUGGGCGCAAGCCUGAUGCAGCCAUGCCGCGUGUGUGAAGAAGGACUUCGGGUUGUAAAGCACUUUCAGCGAGGAGGAAGGCGGUGAGGUUAAUAACCUCACCGAUUGACGUUACCCGCAGAAGAGGCACCGGCUAACUCCGUGCCAGCAGCCGCGGUAAUACGGAGGGUGCAAGCGUUAAUCGGAAUUACUGGGCGUAAAGCGCACGCAGGCGGUCUGUCGAGUCGGAUGUGAAAUCCCCGGGCUCAACCUGGGAACUGCAUUCGAAACUGGCAGGCUAGAGUCUUGUAGAGGGGGGUAGAAUUCCAGGUGUAGCGGUGAAAUGCGUAGAGAUCUGGAGGAAUACCGGUGGCGAAGGCGGCCCCCUGGACAAAGACUGACGCUCAGGUGCUAAAGCGUGGGGAGCAAACAGGAUUAGAUACCCUAGUAGUC